UCCGUAGGUGAACCUGCGGAGGGAUCAUUACAGAGUUGCAAAACUCCCAAACCAUUGUGAACGUUACCUUCAAACCGUUGCUUCGGCGGGCGGCCCGGGUCCGCCCGGUGCCCCCUGGCCCCCUCGCGGGGCGCCCGCCGGAGGAAACCCAACUCUUGAUACAUUAUGGCCUCUCUGAGUCUUCUGUACUGAAUAAGUCAAAACUUUCAACAACGGAUCUCUUGGUUCUGGCAUCGAUGAAGAACGCAGCGAAAUGCGAUAAGUAAUGUGAAUUGCAGAAUUCAGUGAAUCAUCGAAUCUUUGAACGCACAUUGCGCCCGCCAGUAUUCUGGCGGGCAUGCCUGUUCGAGCGUCAUUUCAACCAUCAAGCCCCAGGCUUGUGUUGGGGACCUGCGGCUGCCGCAGGCCCUGAAAACCAGUGGCGGGCUCGCUGUCACACCGGGCGUAGUAGAUUUUAUCUCGCUCAGGGCGUGCUGCGGGUUCCGGCCGUUAAAAAGCCUUUUUUACCCAAGGUUGACCUCGGAUCAGGUAGGAAGACCCGCUGAACUUAAGCAUAUCAAUAAGCGGAGGGAAGUCGGACUGGCCAAGGGGCACACCAGGGGGGGGGAUA
This 610-nucleotide ribosomal RNA is filed under the name uncultured fungus. RNAcentral's name for it is "eukaryotic LSU rRNA". The stretch from base 202 to 355 matches the Rfam family "5.8S ribosomal RNA". The record is from RNAcentral. Lineage: Eukaryota; Fungi.